AGUGGGGAAUAUUGCACAAUGGGGGAAACCCUGAUGCAGCCAUGCCGCGUGUGUGAAGAAGGCCUUCGGGUUGUAAAGCACUUUCAGUAGGGAGGAAGGUAGUGUAGUUAACACCUGCAUUAUUUGACGUUACCUACAGAAGAAGCACCGGCUAACUCCGUGCCAGCAGCCGCGGUAAUACGGAGGGUGCGAGCGUUAAUCGGAAUUACUGGGCGUAAAGCGCAUGCAGGCGGCCUGUUAAGUCAGAUGUGAAAGCCCGGGGCUUAACCUCGGAAUUGCAUUUGAAACUGGCAGGCUAGAGUCUUGUAGAGGGGGUAGAAUUUCAGGUGUAGCGGUGAAAUGCGUAGAGAUCUGAAGGAAUACCAGUGGCGAAGGCGGCCCCCUGGACAAAGACUGACGCUCAGAUGCGAAAGCGUGGGGAGCAAACAGGAUUAGACACCCUGGUAG
RNAcentral lists this ribosomal RNA (447 nucleotides) under uncultured bacterium. RNAcentral describes it as "bacterial SSU rRNA". It matches the Rfam family "Bacterial small subunit ribosomal RNA", at positions 353 to 793 of the family's 1533-position model. The record is from RNAcentral.